RNAcentral lists this ribosomal RNA (253 nucleotides) under uncultured bacterium. Its description in RNAcentral is "partial 16S ribosomal RNA". It matches the Rfam family "Bacterial small subunit ribosomal RNA", at positions 524 to 776 of the family's 1533-position model. The record is from RNAcentral. RNAcentral also lists the same sequence under 2 other names.
UACGAAGGGUGCAAGCGUUACUCGGAAUUACUGGGCGUAAAGCGUGCGUAGGUGGUGAGUUAAGUCUGUCGUGAAAGCCCCGGGCUCAACCUGGGAAUGGCGAUGGAUACUGGCUCGCUAGAGUGCGGUAGAGGAGAGUGGAAUUCCCGGUGUAGCAGUGAAAUGCGUAGAGAUCGGGAGGAACAUCAGUUGCGAAGGCGGCUCUCUGGACCAGCACUGACACUGAGGCACGAAAGCGUGGGGAGCAAACAGG